AAAAUACUGCAAAGACCUAUUUUACAUAUAAACACACUUAAAUAGACAUGCCUCAUGAUAAAGAAAACAUGACACACUUCAUCAUGUUAAAGUACAGACUGUUCCAAAACCAACAGCAUUGCAGUAUUGUGAAUAUAUCAGUGACGUUAUCAUGCACAGCAUUAUGUACAUGUUGGUAUAAAAUAUCCUCUUCACAUAUAAAGCCACAAAUCAGACUGAGAAGAGGUUUCAAUACCACUCUUCAGAACAGAUACACACAUGCAAAAAAAAAAAAAAAAAACAA
This is a long non-coding RNA of Carassius carassius (crucian carp), 283 nucleotides long. RefSeq lists it as uncharacterized. NCBI's taxonomy places the organism in Eukaryota, Metazoa, Chordata, Actinopteri, Cypriniformes, Cyprinidae. The record is from RefSeq and is a predicted model, not a curated record. The transcript is spliced from 2 exons.